Small nuclear RNA from Otolemur garnettii (small-eared galago), 107 nucleotides. NCBI's taxonomy places the organism in Eukaryota, Metazoa, Chordata, Mammalia, Primates, Galagidae. The record is from Ensembl.
GUGCUCCCUUUGGCAGCAUAUAUAUUAAAAUUGGAAUGAUACAGAGAAGAUUAGCAUGGCCCCUGUGCAAGGAUGACAUGCAAAUUCAUGAAGCAUUCCAUAUUAAA